This 253-nucleotide ribosomal RNA is filed under the name uncultured bacterium. RNAcentral's name for it is "partial 16S ribosomal RNA". It matches the Rfam family "Bacterial small subunit ribosomal RNA", at positions 524 to 776 of the family's 1533-position model. The record is from RNAcentral.
UACGGAGGGAACUAGCGUUGUUCGGAAUUACUGGGCGUAAAGCGUGCGUAGUCGGUUAUCUAAGUCGGGUGUGAAAUCCCCGGGCUCAACCUGGGAAUUGCAUUCGAUACUGGAUAGCUAGAGUUCGGCAGAGGGAAGCGGAAUUUCGGGUGUAGCGGUGAAAUGCGUAGAUAUCCGAAGGAACAUCAGUGGCGAAGGCGGCUUCCUGGACCAGAACUGACGAUCAGGCACGAAAGCGUGGGGAGCAAACAGG